AACGUUGGCCCCUAAUCGGGGUUGCGGACAGUGUCUGGUGGGUAGUUUGACUGGGGCGGUCUCCUCCUAAAGAGUAACGGAGGAGCACGAAGGUUGGCUAAUCCUGGUCGGACAUCAGGAGGUUAGUGCAAUGGCAUAAGCCAGCUUGACUGCGAGCGUGACGGCGCGAGCAGGUGCGAAAGCAGGUCAUAGUGAUCCGGUGGUUCUGAAUGGAAGGGCCAUCGCUCAACGGAUAAAAGGUACUCCGGGGAUAACAGGCUGAUACCGCCCAAGAGUUCAUAUCGACGGCGGUGUUUGGCACCUCGAUGUCGGCUCAUCACAUCCUGGGGCUGAAGUAGGUCCCAAGGGUAUGGCUGUUCGCCAUUUAAAGUGGUACGCGAGCUGGGUUUAGAACGUCGUGAGACAGUUCGGUCCCUAUCUGCCGUGGGCGCUGGAGAACUGAGGGGGGCUGCUCCUAGUACGAGAGGACCGGAGUGGACGCAUCACUGGUGUUCGGGUUGUCAUGCCAAUGGCACUGCCCGGUAGCUAAAUGCGGAAGAGAUAAGUGCUGAAAGCAUCUAAGCACGAAACUUGCCCCG
RNAcentral lists this ribosomal RNA (578 nucleotides) under Escherichia coli. RNAcentral describes it as "partial 23S ribosomal RNA". It matches the Rfam family "Bacterial large subunit ribosomal RNA", at positions 2224 to 2801 of the family's 2925-position model. Lineage: Bacteria; Pseudomonadati; Pseudomonadota; Gammaproteobacteria; Enterobacterales; Enterobacteriaceae. The record is from RNAcentral.